RNAcentral lists this ribosomal RNA (2902 nucleotides) under Escherichia coli. Its description in RNAcentral is "bacterial LSU rRNA". It matches the Rfam family "Bacterial large subunit ribosomal RNA". Lineage: Bacteria; Pseudomonadati; Pseudomonadota; Gammaproteobacteria; Enterobacterales; Enterobacteriaceae. The record is from RNAcentral.
UUAAGCGACUAAGCGUACACGGUGGAUGCCCUGGCAGUCAGAGGCGAUGAAGGACGUGCUAAUCUGCGAUAAGCGUCGGUGAGGUGAUAUGAACCGUUAUAACCGGCGAUUUCCGAAUGGGGAAACCCAGUGUGUUUCGACACACUAUCAUUAACUGAAUCCAUAGGUUAAUGAGGCGAACCGGGGGAACUGAAACAUCUAAGUACCCCGAGGAAAAGAAAUCAACCGAGAUUCCCCCAGUAGCGGCGAGCGAACGGGGAGGAGCCCAGAGCCUGAAUCAGUGUGUGUGUUAGUGGAAGCGUCUGGAAAGGCGUGCGAUACAGGGUGACAGCCCCGUACACAAAAAUGCACAUAUUGUGAGCUCGAUGAGUAGGGCGGGACACGUGGUAUCCUGUCUGAAUAUGGGGGGACCAUCCUCCAAGGCUAAAUACUCCUGACUGACCGAUAGUGAACCAGUACCGUGAGGGAAAGGCGAAAAGAACCCCGGCGAGGGGAGUGAAAAAGAACCUGAAACCGUGUACGUACAAGCAGUGGGAGCCUCUUAAUGGGGUGACUGCAUACCUUUUGUAUAAUGGGUCAGCGACUUAUAUUCUGUAGCAAGGUUAACCGAAUAGGGGAGCCGAAGGGAAACCGAGUCUUAACUGGGCGUUAAGUUGCAGGGUAUAGACCCGAAACCCGGUGAUCUAGCCAUGGGCAGGUUGAAGGUUGGGUAACACUAACUGGAGGACCGAACCGACUAAUGUUGAAAAAUUAGCGGAUGACUUGUGGCUGGGGGUGAAAGGCCAAUCAAACCGGGAGAUAGCUGGUUCUCCCCGAAAGCUAUUUAGGUAGCGCCUCGUGAAUUCAUCUCCGGGGGUAGAGCACUGUUUCGGCAAGGGGGUCAUCCCGACUUACCAACCCGAUGCAAACUGCGAAUACCGGAGAAUGUUAUCACGGGAGACACACGGCGGGUGCUAACGUCCGUCGUGAAGAGGGAAACAACCCAGACCGCCAGCUAAGGUCCCAAAGUCAUGGUUAAGUGGGAAACGAUGUGGGAAGGCCCAGACAGCCAGGAUGUUGGCUUAGAAGCAGCCAUCAUUUAAAGAAAGCGUAAUAGCUCACUGGUCGAGUCGGCCUGCGCGGAAGAUGUAACGGGGCUAAACCAUGCACCGAAGCUGCGGCAGCGACACUAUGUGUUGUUGGGUAGGGGAGCGUUCUGUAAGCCUGUGAAGGUGGCCUGUGAGGGUUGCUGGAGGUAUCAGAAGUGCGAAUGCUGACAUAAGUAACGAUAAAGCGGGUGAAAAGCCCGCUCGCCGGAAGACCAAGGGUUCCUGUCCAACGUUAAUCGGGGCAGGGUGAGUCGACCCCUAAGGCGAGGCCGAAAGGCGUAGUCGAUGGGAAACAGGUUAAUAUUCCUGUACUUGGUGUUACUGCGAAGGGGGGACGGAGAAGGCUAUGUUGGCCGGGCGACGGUUGUCCCGGUUUAAGCGUGUAGGCUGGUUUUCCAGGCAAAUCCGGAAAACCAAGGCUGAGGCGUGAUGACGAGGCACUACGGUGCUGAAGCGACAAAUGCCCUGCUUCCAGGAAAAGCCUCUAAGCAUCAGGUAACAUCAAAUCGUACCCCAAACCGACACAGGUGGUCAGGUAGAGAAUACCAAGGCGCUUGAGAGAACUCGGGUGAAGGAACUAGGCAAAAUGGUGCCGUAACUUCGGGAGAAGGCACGCUGAUAUGUAGGUGAAGCGACUUGCUCGUGGAGCUGAAAUCAGUCGAAGAUACCAGCUGGCUGCAACUGUUUAUUAAAAACACAGCACUGUGCAAACACGAAAGUGGACGUAUACGGUGUGACGCCUGCCCGGUGCCGGAAGGUUAAUUGAUGGGGUUAGCGGCAACGCGAAGCUCUUGAUCGAAGCCCCGGUAAACGGCGGCCGUAACUAUAACGGUCCUAAGGUAGCGAAAUUCCUUGUCGGGUAAGUUCCGACCUGCACGAAUGGCGUAAUGAUGGCCAGGCUGUCUCCACCCGAGACUCAGUGAAAUUGAACUCGCUGUGAAGAUGCAGUGUACCCGCGGCAAGACGGAAAGACCCCGUGAACCUUUACUAUAGCUUGACACUGAACAUUGAGCCUUGAUGUGUAGGAUAGGUGGGAGGCUUUGAAGUGUGGACGCCAGUCUGCAUGGAGCCGACCUUGAAAUACCACCCUUUAAUGUUUGAUGUUCUAACGUUGGCCCGUAAUCCGGGUUGCGGACAGUGUCUGGUGGGUAGUUUGACUGGGGCGGUCUCCUCCUAAAGAGUAACGGAGGAGCACGAAGGUUGGCUAAUCCUGGUCGGACAUCAGGAGGUUAGUGCAAUGGCAUAAGCCAGCUUGACUGCGAGCGUGACGGCGCGAGCAGGUGCGAAAGCAGGUCAUAGUGAUCCGGUGGUUCUGAAUGGAAGGGCCAUCGCUCAACGGAUAAAAGGUACUCCGGGGAUAACAGGCUGAUACCGCCCAAGAGUUCAUAUCGACGGCGGUGUUUGGCACCUCGAUGUCGGCUCAUCACAUCCUGGGGCUGAAGUAGGUCCCAAGGGUAUGGCUGUUCGCCAUUUAAAGUGGUACGCGAGCUGGGUUUAGAACGUCGUGAGACAGUUCGGUCCCUAUCUGCCGUGGGCGCUGGAGAACUGAGGGGGGCUGCUCCUAGUACGAGAGGACCGGAGUGGACGCAUCACUGGUGUUCGGGUUGUCAUGCCAAUGGCACUGCCCGGUAGCUAAAUGCGGAAGAGAUAAGUGCUGAAAGCAUCUAAGCACGAAACUUGCCCCGAGAUGAGUUCUCCCUGACUCCUUGAGAGUCCUGAAGGAACGUUGAAGACGACGACGUUGAUAGGCCGGGUGUGUAAGCGCAGCGAUGCGUUGAGCUAACCGGUACUAAUGAACCGUGAGGCUUAACCUU